This 23-nucleotide small nuclear RNA is filed under the name Arabidopsis thaliana (thale cress). Its description in RNAcentral is "snRNA_06524". Lineage: Eukaryota; Viridiplantae; Streptophyta; Magnoliopsida; Brassicales; Brassicaceae. The record is from RNAcentral.
UUACCCGCUGAGUUUAAGCAUAU